This 252-nucleotide ribosomal RNA is filed under the name uncultured bacterium. RNAcentral's name for it is "partial 16S ribosomal RNA". It matches the Rfam family "Bacterial small subunit ribosomal RNA", at positions 524 to 776 of the family's 1533-position model. The record is from RNAcentral.
UACGGGGGGGCAAGCGUUGUUCGGAAUUACUGGGCGUAAAGGGCUCUGAGGUGGCCAACUAAGUCGGACGUGAAAUCCCUCGGCUUAACCGGGGAACUGCGUCCGAUACUGGUUGGCUUGAGUUUGGGAGAGGGAUGCGGAAUUCCAGGUGUAGCGGUGAAAUGCGUAGAUAUCUGGAGGAACACCGGUGGCGAAGGCGGCAUCCUGGACCAAUACUGACGCUGAGGAGCGAAAGCCAGGGGAGCAAACGGG